CCUACGGGUGGCAGCAGUGAGGAAUAUUGGUCAAUGGACGCAAGCCUGAACCAGCCAAGCCGCGUGCAGGAAGACGGUUCUAUGAGUCGUAAACUGCUUUUGUACGAGGGCAAACGCAGAUACUCGUAUCCGUCUGCAAGUAUCUGACGAAAAAGGAUCGGCUAACUCCGUGCCAGCAGCCGCGGUAAUACGGAGGAUUCAAGCGUUAUCCGGAUUUAUUGGGUUUAAAGGGUGCGUAGGCGGUCUGGUAAGUCAGAGGUGAAAUCCCGAGGCUCAACUUCGGAAUUGCCUUUGAUACGGUCCGGCUCGAGAGUAGUUGCGGUAGGCGGAAUGUACGGUGUAGCGGUGAAAUGCUUAGAGAUCGUGCAGAACACCGAUUGCGAAGACAGCUUGCCAAGCUAAUUCUGACGUUGAGGCACGAAAGCGUGGGGAGCAAACAGGAUUAGAUACCCCAGUAGUC
This 460-nucleotide ribosomal RNA is filed under the name uncultured bacterium. RNAcentral's name for it is "partial 16S ribosomal RNA". It matches the Rfam family "Bacterial small subunit ribosomal RNA", at positions 338 to 795 of the family's 1533-position model. The record is from RNAcentral.